CCUUCAUAACUUUAUAAAACCAUGGAAUUCAAUCCACCAAAUAUACAACUCAUUUUAAUUAUUUUGAAUUGUUGCAUAAUGCCCCUACCAAAUUUAAGAACAGGACAUGAUAUCAAAGAUCUAUAGAAAUAAAUCCCCAGAUACAGCCAUACAGGCUCUAUUCAUGCCCCAGGCUUACUCUUCUAAGGUGAGUACAAAUAAUUCCACCAAACAAUGUUAGUCAUAUUGGUUUCAAAUACUAAAAUUCUUCUACUACAUAUCUAUAAAAGACUUCACAUUUCCCAUCCAUCGUAUCAACUCGGAUUUAUCUUUCUUCUUAAUAUAUCUGUGCAGGAAUACAGCUAGUUCGUCAUUUACACCCCUCUUUUCCAAGUAUUCAUAAAGUGAAUUCUGCAGCUCAUCAUCCAAAUCCCUGCAUAGUCACAAAC
RNAcentral lists this long non-coding RNA (428 nucleotides) under Panax ginseng (ginseng). Its description in RNAcentral is "long non-coding RNA (PGIN_LNC018446)". Lineage: Eukaryota; Viridiplantae; Streptophyta; Magnoliopsida; Apiales; Araliaceae. The record is from RNAcentral.